This is an RNA transcript of Xenopus laevis (African clawed frog), 2236 nucleotides long. It is a transcript of the gene named heterogeneous nuclear ribonucleoprotein D like L homeolog, with no coding region annotated. The record is from RefSeq and is marked provisional. The transcript is spliced from 9 exons. Lineage: Eukaryota; Metazoa; Chordata; Amphibia; Anura; Pipidae.
UACCGCUGGAGAAGGAUUGGACAUAAAAUAUUCAAUAAUCAAAUCCCACCAUUUAAAUAAUAAACACACUCUAGAAUCACAUGCAUGGACACAUCAUCCAGAAUUCAUUACCCUUUAAAUCUGAACAAAUUGUGAAAUCUCAUCAGCACUACAUUGCAAUUAUGUUUAGCCUCUUUUAUUGGAACAAAAUACUGGCAAAUUUCAAGUUUAUAGAAACAAAUCUGCAUUUGUAUAGUACACCAGAUGCUCUUACUCGUCGCUGGAUAAAUUUGCUAGAAGCAAAUGCCAUAUUUUGAUUUAUAGUUUACUUCCGUUUAUAAAAUACAGCAACGUGCACCAAAACCAAGCCAUUAUGCUGGGAAUCGGACAGCGAUUUAUGUUUCACCUUGACAAACGUGAUUGGGGUAGUGGUGCCCUUAAUAACUAGCAGGAUAGUUGUAACUGGCGCCGAAACGGAAAAUAGAGCCAUCUCGGCACGGCACCAAUUUCCCCUGCGUUGCCGAUUUAGUGUGACGUUCAAGUCAGACCCUGCUCAAAUGUGCAGCCUGAAAAAACGUUCCACAUCUGCUCUCAUCAACACUUGGGAGAAAGAAUCGACAGCAUAGGCAGGUAAGGCCUUUUUUUCUCAAGCACAGCCAUUUUGUACACGACUACACGGCGCCAUAUUCUGAAACCGCCAUGUGACUCUAUUGUGUGUGUCCAGAUCUACAUUUUACGGGGUGGAAUACCCGCAUAACAGACAUCCGGCCAACGAACGCAGCACAACCACGCCCCUUCGCUUUUCGCCAAUAAAAAUACAGCAAAGAACUAUGACGACACAAAAACGAGCGAAAUCCAUUGGUUGUUUCCCUUUGUAUAUAAGGAGAGGGUGGGCAAACCGGUGAUCUUUUUCCACCACCUUAGCUACGGCUGUGCGCCAUUAAGGAUAGUGUACUUUUCAAUCAGAUUAGAUUGUAACCAUGGCCGGAUUCGGUGCAGCUCCAGACUUCAAUGAAGGGUCAAAGAUCAAUGCCAGCAAAAACCAACAGGAUGAAGGUAAAAUGUUCAUUGGAGGCCUUAGUUGGGAUACAAGCAAGAAAGACCUAACCGAGUAUCUGUCUCGGUUUGGGGAGGUGUUGGAUUGCACAAUCAAAACUGACCCCGUGACUGGGCGAUCAAGAGGAUUCGGCUUUGUUCUCUUCAAAGAUGCUGUGAGCGUUGACAAAGUUCUUGAAACAAACGAGCAUAAACUAGAUGGCAAGCUUAUUGAUCCAAAAAGAGCUAAGGCACUGAAAGGCAAAGAGCCCCCCAAGAAAGUCUUUGUUGGUGGACUCAGUCCUGAAACAACAGAGGAGCAGAUCAAGCAGUAUUUUGGUGGAUUUGGAGAAAUUGAAAAUAUUGAACUGCCAAUUGACACAAAAACAAACGAAAGGAGAGGCUUUUGUUUUGUCACCUACACAGGUGAAGAACCAGUAAAGAAGCUUUUGGAAAGCCGGUUCCACCAAAUUGGUACAGGAAAGUGUGAAAUAAAAGCUGCACAGCCCAAAGAAGUCUACAGACAACAACAACAGAAGCAGCAGAGGGGAGGAAGAGGAGCAGUCACUGGAAGGGGUGGUACCAGAGGAAGAGGCAGAGGUCAAGGUUGGAAUCAAGGCUACAACAACUACUAUGAUCAAAACUAUGGCGGAUAUGGAAACAAUGGUUCCUAUGGUGAUCAAGACUAUAACAGCUAUAGUGGUUAUGAUUACUCUGGGUACAGCUAUGGAUAUAACCCAGGAUAUACUGAAUAUAGUGGGCAACAAAGCACAUACGGCAAAGCAAGAGGUGGAGGAAACCAUCAAAACAACUACCAGCCUUACUAAUGCAAUGACAUUAAAACUAAGCGGGAACUUCAUUGCAGGCCGUGUGUCACCCUGUCCACGUCUAUCUCUGGGGUCGCACGUUGUGGGCAGAGCGCAAGGCAUACACCAGAAACCGCUGUCCUGUGGUGGAGAUGGUUGGAAGAGAAGAACGUCGCGCAGCAAUGCUGAGAGCACCAUCACAUUAUCCUUAUGAGAGGACUAUAAAUAACCAAGGCACAAAGUGUCUUGCUGUAAAUAGGAAGUGGAAUUUUUUUUAUGGCAUUUCGCCAUCUGUAUGGAAAGGGUUUUAUGUUCAGCAAUAUUCUUUUUAAGUUUACCACAUUAUUUGUGCUUGUGAAGUGAUCAGUGCAUUCAAAUUUGAUGUCAAUGAAGUUUGUAAUAAAAGUGAGAACAAU